This is a long non-coding RNA of Aplysia californica (California sea hare), 1418 nucleotides long. RefSeq lists it as uncharacterized. Lineage: Eukaryota; Metazoa; Mollusca; Gastropoda; Aplysiida; Aplysiidae. The record is from RefSeq and is a predicted model, not a curated record. The transcript has 2 exons.
CGGUGUCAGAGCCGCGGGUUUUCGGUUCUCGCCACAGCUUCUUUGGGAGAUCACAUGUCGCACAUUAGCCCAGUUCUGUACUGUGGAACUGUCUCGCCAGCCACUUCUCGUCUCGCGGUGGCUUUACUCACAAACCUACUGGACAAGUUGUAGAAGAGACCGGUUCUGUUGUGGCUACGUUGUGCGCACGAAGGAGAUAGUUUGCCCUGGUAAUUGUUCUGUGACUUUGUGCAAUGUGGAAAUGUACAUAAAGAUAGACGUGUCUGCAAAGUCGUCGCGUUUCUAGAAGGUGUCCACUAGAAGGUUUCUAGAAGGUCUCCUCUAGAAGGUGUCCACUAGAAGGUCUCUAGAAGGUCUCCUCUAGAAGGUCUCCUCUAGAAGGUGUCCACUAGAAGGUCUCUAGAAGGUCUCCUCUAGAAGGUCUCCUCUAGAAGGUGUCCACUAGAAGGUCUCUAGAAGGUCUCCUCUAGAAGGUCUCCUCUAGAAGGUCUCUAGAAGGUGUCCUCUAGAAGGUCCCCUCUAGAAGGUGUCCACUAGAAGGUCUCCUCUAGAAGGUCCCCUCUAGAAGGUCUCCUCUAGAAGGUGUCCACUGAGGUGACCCAGCCUUUCAUGCCCUCCAGUGAGCACGUACAACAGGCCAGCGAUCCUCCCAUCUACAUUGUGAGAAUCUUGUCCACUAUUGGGAGAUAACGUAUUCUCGAUCUGUGUUUCGGAUUUGGAAAUUCUGUGCAUUCGUUCGGAUUGUUGUACUUACCUCUCUCGCUAUUUGGAACGCUGUGAUGUUUCUCUGUGUUGUGUUCAGGGAGUGAGUGGUACGCUCUGUCAAUUUCUGUGUGUGGCUUUUUCCUCUAGGAUGUGCUGUAAAACAUGAGGCAGACGCAAGGGCUAAGACAUCCACCGCUGCGCAGACUCCAGGUGUUGGUGUAUGGCGGGGUAAACCUGGAGGCGACCAGUGUCACAUAGUUCUGUCUUACGUCUGACCUCUACGAGGUGACCUGUGUGACGUCAUAGCGCUGCCCAUACUUCUGGGCUCUCCGAUGUGCCAGAGAAAUUCCGCCUCAAAUUAUAAUACAUGUCCGUCUCCACUUAAUAAAUUUUAGCAGAUUCACGGAACAAAAUGAAAGUUCUUUCUAAACGGUCUCACUUCAUCUGGACAGGUGUUCUUUCGAAAUUAAAGUAAGGAAAAGAAUUCAAGUUCUUCCAUUUUCUGUUUGAAACAAGGAGAAAAACAAUUGGUAUAUUAAGAAAGUAUUUGUGUCCGUACGUGUAAAAGUGUAUAAAUAUCCAUCACCAUUAAGUGUCAAUUGAAUCCAAUAAUCAAUCGUAGCUUUUAAAUUAUAAUAAAAUCCAAGAUACACAGAUAGAGAGAAAGAGAUAGAUAGAUAGAUAGAGAGAGUGAGAGAGAGAGAGAGAGAGAG